RNAcentral lists this long non-coding RNA (604 nucleotides) under Ictidomys tridecemlineatus (thirteen-lined ground squirrel). RNAcentral describes it as "lncRNA (ENSSTOG00000030685.1)". The record is from RNAcentral. Lineage: Eukaryota; Metazoa; Chordata; Mammalia; Rodentia; Sciuridae.
AAAGUUCCUCUUUCCUGAUGAUCAGAAAAAAAUUUGCUUUUACUGUCCUCAUUUUUAACCAUCCUAAGACUACUAAUAUAUUGCAUUGGAAACUUAUGCCAUAAGGAAUGCUAAAUAGCCCAAUAUUAUAUCAAUAUUUUGUUAAUAAAGCCUUGUUCUUUUUUGGUCAUAAAUUUUCUCAUUUAUUUAUUUAUCAUUGUAUGGAUGAUAUGUUGCUUACAGGAUGAAACAUCACAGAUGAAAUUCUACAAACAUUAGGGGAAGUGUUAUUACAAUCAGGACUCUAUGUUGUAACAGAAAAAAAUUCAACCUUACCUCUCUAUCAGUUGUUAAAGAAAUAACACUAUACUGCCUUUUUCAAGCUCUACAAAAAAUUAACAGAAAUUUGGUGCGAGUAAUGUCUCAGGACCUUCCCCAGUGUCAUAGAUGUGUGCACCAGGAUCUUCAAUGUUUUACUGGUUUCUUUGCCUUCUCAUACAGUCAAUGGAGCUUAGCAACAUUGCCACGUUCACAGUCAUGCAUAGCGCCUGCCACUGAACCUUCAUGAUGUCAAGAUUUUUCUUCAAGGUAUUUAUAUAUUUGGUAUUUUCUCAACAUAAGUAAA